AGUGAUAUUUUCACCAUUGUGCCCAUGGAGGGAGAUAUCUUGCCAAAUUCUUCACUUGAAAUCAAGGUGAUCUUUAAGCCCAAAGAAGCCAGAGUCUACCAAGAGGCAGCCUACUGUGACAUCUCAGGCUGUGAGACCAGGCUGCCCCUGUGCAUCAGCGGGGAAGGCGUCGGGCCCCAGGUGGAACUCAGCUGCGACCAGGUG
Melopsittacus undulatus (budgerigar) is the source of this 204-nucleotide long non-coding RNA. RefSeq lists it as uncharacterized. Lineage: Eukaryota; Metazoa; Chordata; Aves; Psittaciformes; Psittaculidae. The record is from RefSeq and is a predicted model, not a curated record. The transcript is spliced from 3 exons.